CAUUGCACCCUCUCAAUACUCUCUGCCAUUACUCUCAUCUCCCAAUUUUUCCUCUCUCUUCCUCCCAGAUUUGCACCUACCUUUCAAACUCUUUGCCUAAAAACUGCUUGAUCAGUACAAAACCAUCUCCGGUUUUCCGACAAACAAAUCUCAGGCCACACAUCGAUACACUCCUCUCUCUCUUUAGGAUUUCGUCGCGUCUUCCUAGCAAUUUGAUUAAGAUGUACUAUUUCUCAAGACAACACUAGAGGAAGAAGGUUAAAGGGUUUGCUUUCAAUUUCCGGUAUAAGAAAAAGAUGUUCGAGCCAAAUAUGUUUCUUGCGGCUAUGAACAACGAAGAUAGCAACAACCACAACUACAACCAUGAAGACAACAACAAUAACAAUGAAAGAUUUCUACGGGACGAGGAAUUCGACAGUGCGAAUACUAAAUCGGGAAGUGAGAAUCAAGAAGGAGGAUCAGGAAACGAUCAAGAUAAUCAUCAUCCUAAUAAGAAGAAACGAUAUCAUAGACACACCCAACUUCAGAUCCAGGAGAUGGAAGCAUUCUUCAAAGAGUGUCCUCACCCGGAUGACAAGCAAAGGAAACAACUUAGCCGUGAACUGGGUUUGGAACCUCUUCAGGUCAAAUUCUGGUUCCAGAACAAACGCACCCAAAUGAAGGUAUAAUAUACUUAUGAUCAUUUAUAUACUUGUGGAUCUAUAUCAAAGUAUAAAUAUUCUGAAAGCCUUAUGUUAUACUCAGACGGCUAG
Molecule: RNA transcript, 752 nt
Organism: Raphanus sativus (radish)
Lineage: Eukaryota; Viridiplantae; Streptophyta; Magnoliopsida; Brassicales; Brassicaceae
Gene name: homeobox-leucine zipper protein HDG2-like
Exons: 4
Source: RefSeq, a predicted model, not a curated record